Molecule: ribosomal RNA, 253 nt
Filed under: uncultured bacterium
Lineage: Bacteria
Description: partial 16S ribosomal RNA
Rfam family: Bacterial small subunit ribosomal RNA
Source: RNAcentral
GACGAAGGUGGCUAGCGUUGCUCGGAUUUACUGGGCAUAAAGCGCGCGUAGGUGGUCCUGUAAGCGAGAGAUGAAAGCCCAUGGCUCACCCAUGGAACUGUCCCUCGGACUGCAGGGCUGGAGGGCGGGAGGGGAGAAUGGAAUUCCCGGUGUAGCGGUGAAAUGCGUAGAUAUCGGGAGGAACGCCGGUGGCGAAAGCGGCUCUCUAGACCGAUACUGACGCUCAUACGCGAGAGCGUAGGUAGCAAACAGG